AGAGCGGGAGCCCGGAGAUGGGCACUGAGACAAGGGCCCAGGCCCUACGGGGCGCAGCAGUCGCGAAAACUCCGCAAUGCACGAAAGUGUGACGGGGCUACCCCGAGUGCCGUCCGCUGAGGAUGGCUUUUCCCCGGUAUAACAAGCCGGGGGAAUAAGGAGAGGGCAAGACUGGUGUCAGCCGCCGCGGUAAUACCAGCUCUCCGAGUGGUAGGGAUGAUUAUUGGGCUUAAAGCGUCCGUAGCCGGCUUGGCAAGUCUCCUGUUAAAUUCAGCGACCUAAUCGUUGAGCCGCGGGAGAUACUACUAGGCUAGGAGGCGGGAGAGGCCGACGGUACUUCUGGGGUAGGGGUGAAAUCCUAUAAUCCCGGGAGGACCACCAGUGGCGAAGGCUGUCGACU
This 400-nucleotide ribosomal RNA is filed under the name Candidatus Bathyarchaeota archaeon. Its description in RNAcentral is "bacterial SSU rRNA". It matches the Rfam family "Archaeal small subunit ribosomal RNA", at positions 279 to 681 of the family's 1478-position model. Lineage: Archaea; Thermoproteati; Candidatus Bathyarchaeota. The record is from RNAcentral.